AAUCGCGGAUCAGCAUGCCGCGGUGAAUACGUUCCCGGGCCUUGUACACACCGCCCGUCACACCACGAGAGUUUGCAACACCCGAAGUCGGUGAGGGAACCUACCCACCCCACAAAGUACUACUUUGCGGGGAACCCCGGGAAGGACCCAGCCGCCGAAGGUGGGGCAGAUGAUUGGGGUGAAGUCGUAACAAGGUAUCCCUACCGGAAGGUGGGGAUGGAUCACCUCCUUUCUA
RNAcentral lists this ribosomal RNA (235 nucleotides) under Thermoflavimicrobium daqui. Its description in RNAcentral is "Thermoflavimicrobium sp. FBKL4.011 partial 16S ribosomal RNA". It matches the Rfam family "Bacterial small subunit ribosomal RNA", at positions 1340 to 1533 of the family's 1533-position model. The record is from RNAcentral. Lineage: Bacteria; Bacillati; Bacillota; Bacilli; Caryophanales; Thermoactinomycetaceae.